ACAUCCUACGGGAGGCAGCAGUGGGGAAUAUUGGACAAUGGGCGCAAGCCUGAUCCAGCCAUGCCGCGUGAGUGAUGAAGGCCCUAGGGUUGUAAAGCUCUUUCACCGGAGAAGAUAAUGACGGUAUCCGGAGAAGAAGCCCCGGCUAACUUCGUGCCAGCAGCCGCGGUAAUACGAAGGGGGCUAGCGUUGUUCGGAAUUACUGGGCGUAAAGCGCACGUAGGCGGAUCGAUCAGUCAGGGGUGAAAUCCCAGGGCUCAACCCUGGAACUGCCUUUGAUACUGUCGAUCUGGAGUAUGGAAGAGGUGAGUGGAAUUCCGAGUGUAGAGGUGAAAUUCGUAGAUAUUCGGAGGAACACCAGUGGCGAAGGCGGCUCACUGGUCCAUUACUGACGCUGAGGUGCGAAAGCGUGGGGAGCAAACAGGAUUAGAUACCCCUGUAGUCC
This 445-nucleotide ribosomal RNA is filed under the name uncultured organism. RNAcentral describes it as "partial 16S ribosomal RNA". It matches the Rfam family "Bacterial small subunit ribosomal RNA", at positions 335 to 796 of the family's 1533-position model. The record is from RNAcentral.